RNAcentral lists this ribosomal RNA (253 nucleotides) under uncultured bacterium. RNAcentral's name for it is "partial 16S ribosomal RNA". It matches the Rfam family "Bacterial small subunit ribosomal RNA", at positions 524 to 776 of the family's 1533-position model. The record is from RNAcentral.
UACGUAGGGGGCAAGCGUUGUCCGGAACCAUUGGGCGUAAAGAGCGUGUAGGCGGCCAGAUAAGUCCGCUGUGAAAACUCGAGGCUCAACUUCGAGCUGUCGGUGGAAACUAUCUGGCUAGAGUCCGGAAGAGGAGAGUGGAAUUCCUGGUGUAGCGGUGAAAUGCGCAGAUAUCAGAAAGAACACCCGUGGCGAAGGCGGCUCCCUGGUACGGAACUGACGCUGAGACGCGAAAGCGUGGGGAGCGAACAGG